Pangasianodon gigas (Mekong giant catfish) is the source of this 73-nucleotide non-coding RNA. The record is from the annotation of a GenBank genome assembly. Lineage: Eukaryota; Metazoa; Chordata; Actinopteri; Siluriformes; Pangasiidae.
GGCUCGGUGGUUUAGUGGUUAGCAUGUCUGCCUCGCACCUCUGGACUUGGGGGUUUGAAUCCCACCUCCGCCC